This 233-nucleotide ribosomal RNA is filed under the name uncultured bacterium. RNAcentral describes it as "partial 16S ribosomal RNA". It matches the Rfam family "Bacterial small subunit ribosomal RNA", at positions 30 to 264 of the family's 1533-position model. The record is from RNAcentral.
AUUGAACGCUGGCGGCAUGCCUUACACAUGCAAGUCGGACGGUAACGCGGGGCAACCUGGCGACGAGUGGCGAACGGGUGAGUAAUAUAUCGGAACGUGCCCAAAUAGUGGGGGAUAGCCCGGCGAAAGCCGGAUUAAUACCGCAUGAGACCUGAGGGUGAAAGCGGGGGAUCGCAAGACCUCGCGCUAUUGGAGCGGCCGAUAUCAGAUUAGGUAGUUGGUGGGGUAAAGAC